Molecule: ribosomal RNA, 2700 nt
Filed under: Triticum aestivum (bread wheat)
Lineage: Eukaryota; Viridiplantae; Streptophyta; Magnoliopsida; Poales; Poaceae
Description: partial small subunit ribosomal RNA
Source: RNAcentral
AUGGAAAUCUUCCCGUUGAUGCUUUCUCUAUUGGUGCUCGGGUCACUGGGAAAGCUAACAACUCUGGCAUCCGGAGUUGUAACAGGCCUGCAGAACCCUGAGGGGAACUGGGCGCAACCAUCCCGUGCCGGUGGCAUGCUCCAUGGCUGCCCGACGAGCUGCGGCACUGUGAGCUUCGGCUAUCCCUUUGGCAUCGGAUCCAGGUGCUCCCGUGGACCGGACUUCAACCUCAUUUGCAACAACACCAGUCAGUCCCCCAGGCUCUUCUUGUACGACGGCAUCACCGAGGUGACCAACUUUGACGAUGCUCGUAUCACGGUCUCCUUUUCGCAUACCAUCACCCUGAAAUCUGGUGUGAGUGUCUACUAUUUCUCUUUGGAACCGCCUGGGAGGUCCUUCGAUAUUGAUUCCUUUGCUCUAGCCUUCAUUGGUUGCGGCCUAGAGGUGUACUCUGUGGAAGGGAAUGACACCAAUUCAAUAUGCACAACAAUGUGCUCAGACCCAGAAAUCACAGAGAUGGAGGCUAUGCACAACUGUAAUGGAAUUGGAUGCUGUGGCUAUAGUCAGGCAAGCUAUGCCAGCACUUAUCAGUUCAAAUUGGUCUACCGCCACAACACAAAAAACAUCAGCACGACCUCCAACCAGGCCUCCCAGUUGUGGGAUAAAAUCAGCAUAAGUGCUGAUGGCUCACAGCUCUCAUGGAAAUUAGGGGAUCAACCCACCUGUGCUGCCUGUGUCAGCGAGCAUGCCGAGUGCAGGCAGAACGAUCCACUAGGUGUAUACGGUGCACCAACAAGUGGCUACAACUGCAUCUGCGAUGACGGCUAUUCAGGCAACCCCUACAUUCCACAUGGCUGCUCCACCGAUGAGAAAGGGUAUAAUCCAAUUCCGAGCAGGGCUAACUGUACCCGCUGGUGUGGUAACAUUAGUGUGCAAUUCCCAUUCGGCUUUGAAGAGGGCUGCUUCGCUAGGGAAGAGUUUCACCUCAACUGCACAAAUGUGACGUCAUCAGCUGCCCUGGUCAUGUUGGGGGAGUGCAAGGUCAGUGACAUAAAUGUCAACGAAGGGACCUUAAAUGUCACCAGUGAUGUUUCUGAGCAGGGAUUCGAAGACACUCAUGUUUCCGCAUAUGGGUCAUUUGUGCUUAAUAAAUGGGUUGCUGCUCAUCUAAAUUGCACAGAGGCCCAACAGAAUAGGUCUGGAUAUGCUUGUGUGAGUAUCAACAGCAAGUGUGUGGAAGUAAGCGAUGAAGUGAUGACGAGUUACCGCUGCAGAUGCUUUGAUGGCUUCCAAGGAAAUCCAUACAUCCAAAAUGGUUGUCAAGACAUUGAUGAGUGCCUUGAUCCGAACAAAUGUAAAGGGGUCUGUCAUAAUACCGAAGGAAGUUUCAGUUGUACUGAAUGUCCUCGCAAGACUGAGUAUGAUCCAUCAAAAAUGAAAUGUACUGUGACAAAACAACAGCAUCUACUCUUAGGUAUAAUUAUUGGGCUGUCCUGUGGUUUCGGCGUUCUACUCUUGAGCUCCAGUGCAGUACUUUUCACUCGCAGGUGGAAAAAGAAUGUUCAAAAGCAACUACGGAGGAACUAUUUCCAAAAGAACCAAGGUCUUCUCCUGGAAACAUUGAUAUCAUCUGAUGAAUCUGCAAAUGAGAAUACUAAGAUAUUUUCGUUAGAAGAGAUAGAGAAGGCAACAAACAACUUUGAUCCUACACGUAUCAUUGGACGUGGGGGCCAUGGCAUGGUUUACAAAGGCAUAUUGUCUGAUCAGCGUGUUGUUGCAGUAAAAAAGUCGAAAGUCAUUGAGCAGUCUGAGAUCAGUCAAUUCAUCAAUGAGGUUGCAGUCCUCACUCAGAUAAAUCACAGAAAUAUUGUGAAGCUCUUUGGAUGUUGCCUCGAAACCGAGGUUCCACUACUGGUGUAUGAUUAUGUAUCCAACGGCUCACUGUCUGAAGUUCUUCAUGCAGAUGCAAGUGAUGGUUUUUCCUUAUCUUGGGGUGAUUAUUUGAGGAUUGCUCUGGAAACAGCAGGAGCUCUAUCUUAUCUCCACUCUUCAGCUUCAAUGUCAAUCUUCCAUCGUGACGUGAAAUCCUCAAAUAUACUCUUGGAUGUGAACUACACGGCUAAAGUGUCAGAUUUUGGUGCGUCCAGAUUGGUUCCUGUCGAUCAAACACAUAUUGUGACGAACGUGCAAGGUACAUUCGGGUACUUAGAUCCAGAGUAUUUCCAUACCAGGCAGCUGAACGGGAAGAGCGAUGUGUACAGUUGUGGUGUGGUACUAGUGGAGUUGCUUCUCAGAAUGAAGCCUAUAUUUACAAGUGAAUCAGGCACAGUCAAAAGUUUGUCAAACUAUUUCCUCCAGGAGUUCAAUGAGGGAAGAAUCACAGAUAUUGCUAAUUCUCAGGUGCUUGAGGAGGCAACAGAGGAAGAGAUCAAUGGUGUUGCCUCUCUUGCAGAGCGGUGCUUGAGGCUACACGGCAAAGAAAGACCAACCAUGAAACAGGUUGAGACAGAACUGCAGACUCUACGGGCAAAACGGAUGAACUCAUCUCAGCCUGAUCCGAGAAAUGGAGAACAUAUGCAACCAAGGUCGUUAACUCAAAGGAGUAGAUCUGCUCGGCAAUUGUCCGCACAGCCAGGUGGUAGCCAACGACGCUAUAGCUUGGAGGCAGAGUUCUUGUCAUCUGCUAGCCUACCACGCUAG